CCCGAAGCUUAACUUCGGAACUGCAAUCAAAACUUUUUAGCUAGAGUAUGAUAGAGGAAAGCAGAAUUUCUAGUGUAGAGGUGAAAUUCGUAGAUAUUAGAAAGAAUACCAAUUGCGAAGGCAGCUUUCUGGAUCAUUACUGACACUGAGGAACGAAAGCAUGGGUAGCGAAGAGGAUUAGAUACCCUCGUAGUCCAUGCCGUAAACGAUGUGUGUUAGACGUUGGAAAUUAUUUUCAGUGUCGCAGCGAAAGCAUUAAACACACCGCCUGGGGAGUACGACCGCAAGGUUAAAACUCAAAUGAAUUGACGGGGACCCGCACAAGUAGUGGAGCAUGUGGUUUAAUUCGAAGAUACGCGCAGAACCUUACCAACACUUGACAUGUUCGUCGCGACUCUAAGAGAUUAGAGUUUUCGGUUCGGCCGGACGAAACACAGGUGCUGCAUGGCUGUCGUCAGCUCGUGUCGUGAGAUGUUGGGUUAAGUCCCGCAACGAGCGCAACCCUCACUUUUAGUUGCCAUCAUUUAGUUGGGCACUCUGAAAGAACUGCCAGUGAUAAGCUGGAGGAAGGUGGGGAUGACGUCAAGUCCUCAUGGCCCUUACGUGUUGGGCUACACACGUGCUACAAUGGCAUUUACAAUAGGAAGCAAGAUGGCGACGUCGAGCAAAUCCUAAAAAGAUGCCUCAGUUCGGAUUGUACUCUGCAACUCGAGUACAUGAAGCUGGAAUUACUAGUAAUCGCGGAUCAGCGCGCCGCGGUGAAUACGUUCCCGGGUCUUGUACACACCGCCCGUCACACCAUGGGAGUUGAUUCUACCUUAAGGCAAGGUUUAAAACCCUUGACUACGGUAUAGUCAGCGACUGGGGUGAAGUCGUAACAAGGUAACCG
This 889-nucleotide ribosomal RNA is filed under the name uncultured bacterium. RNAcentral's name for it is "bacterial SSU rRNA". It matches the Rfam family "Bacterial small subunit ribosomal RNA", at positions 601 to 1502 of the family's 1533-position model. The record is from RNAcentral.